This 73-nucleotide transfer RNA is filed under the name Operophtera brumata (winter moth). It matches the Rfam family "tRNA". From Rfam's summary of the family: Transfer RNA (tRNA) molecules are approximately 80 nucleotides in length. Their secondary structure includes four short double-helical elements and three loops (D, anti-codon, and T loops). Lineage: Eukaryota; Metazoa; Arthropoda; Insecta; Lepidoptera; Geometridae. The record is from Rfam by way of RNAcentral.
CGUUCUAUGGCCAAACUUGUUAAGGCAUAGCCGAUUAGAGAUGAAGAUGCGGGUUCGAGUCCCGCUGGAACGG